AUUGAACGCUGGCGGCAGGCUUAACACAUGCAAGUCGAGCGGAGCAAGGGUGCUUGCACCUUAGCUUAGCGGCGGACGGGUGAGUAAUGCUUAGGAAUCUGCCUAUUAGUGGGGGACAACAUUCCGAAAGGGAUGCUAAUACCGCAUACGCCCUACGGGGGAAAGCAGGGGAUCUUCGGACCUUGCGCUAAUAGAUGAGCCUAAGUCGGAUUAGCUAGUUGGUGGGGUAAAGGCCUACCAAGGCGACGAUCUGUAGCGGGUCUGAGAGGAUGAUCCGCCACACCGGGACUGAGACACGGCCCAGACUCCGACGGGAGGCAGCAGUGGGGAAUAUUGGACAAUGGGCGGAAGCCUGAUCCAGCCAUGCCGCGUGUGUGAAGAAGGCCUUUUGGUUGUAAAGCACUUUAAGCGAGGAGGAGGCUACUAGUAUUAAUACUACUGGAUAGUGGACGUUACUCGCAGAAUAAGCACCGGCUAACUCUGUGCCAGCCGCCGCCGUAA
RNAcentral lists this ribosomal RNA (501 nucleotides) under uncultured bacterium. RNAcentral's name for it is "partial 16S ribosomal RNA". It matches the Rfam family "Bacterial small subunit ribosomal RNA", at positions 30 to 523 of the family's 1533-position model. The record is from RNAcentral.